AGAGUUUGAUCAUGGCUCAGGAUAAACGCUAGCGGCAGGCCUAACACAUGCAAGUCGAGGGGCAUCGGAUAGAGUACUUCGGUACUCUUGCCGGCGACCGGCGGACGGGUGCGUAACGCGUAUGCAACCUACCUUCAACAGGGGGAUAAUCCGAAGAAAUUUGGUCUAAUACCCCAUAAUAUUCCGACAGGCAUCUGUCGGAGUUGAAAGCUUCGGUGGUUGGAGAUGGGCAUGCGUUGUAUUAGCUAGAUGGUGAGGUAACGGCUCACCAUGGCGAUGAUACAUAGGGGGACUGAGAGGUUUUCCCCCCACACUGGUACUGAGACACGGACCAGACUCCUACGGGAGGCAGCAGUGAGGAAUAUUGGUCAAUGGACGGAAGUCUGAACCAGCCAUGCCGCGUGCAGGAUGAAUGUGCUAUGCAUUGUAAACUGCUUUUGUACGAGGGUAAACACAGAUACGCGUAUCUGCUUGAAAGUAUCGUACGAAUAAGGAUCGGCUAACUCCGUGCCAGCCGCCGCGGUAAUUC
Molecule: ribosomal RNA, 529 nt
Filed under: uncultured bacterium
Lineage: Bacteria
Description: bacterial SSU rRNA
Rfam family: Bacterial small subunit ribosomal RNA
Source: RNAcentral